UGGGGAAUAUUGGACAAUGGGCGAAAGCCUGAUCCAGCCAUGCCGCGUGUGUGAAGAAGGUCUUCGGAUUGUAAAGCACUUUAAGUUGGGAGGAAGGGCAGUAAGUUAAUACCUUGCUGUUUUGACGUUACCGACAGAAUAAGCACCGGCUAACUUCGUGCCAGCAGCCGCGGUAAUACGAAGGGUGCAAGCGUUAAUCGGAAUUACUGGGCGUAAAGUGCGCGUAGGUGGUUUGAUAAGUUGGAUGUGAAAGCCCCGGGCUCAACCUGGGAAUUGCAUCCAAAACUGUCUGACUAGAGUAUGGCAGAGGGUGGUGGAAUUUCCUGUGUAGCGGUGAAAUGCGUAGAUAUAGGAAGGAACACCAGUGGCGAAGGCGACCGCCUGGGCUAAUNCUGACACUGAGGUGCGAAAGCGUGGGGAGCAAACAAGGAUUAGAUACCCUGGUAGUCCACGCCGUAAACGAUGUCGACUAGCCGUUGGGAUCCUUGAGAUCUUAGUGGCGCAGCUAACGCAUUAAGUCGACCGCCUGGGGAGU
Molecule: ribosomal RNA, 535 nt
Filed under: uncultured bacterium
Lineage: Bacteria
Description: partial 16S ribosomal RNA
Rfam family: Bacterial small subunit ribosomal RNA
Source: RNAcentral